UACGUAGGGUGCAGGCGUUAAUCGGAAUUACUGGGCGUAAAGCGUGCGCAGGCGGUCUCUUAAGACAGGUGUGAAAUCCCCGGGCUUAACCUGGGAACUGCGCUUGUAACUGAGAGGCUUGAGUGUGCCAGAGGGGGGUGGAAUUCCACGUGUAGCAGUGAAAUGCGUAGAUAUUGGGAAGAACACCAGUGGCGAAGGCGGCUCACUGGCUCGUAACUGACGCUCAGGCGCGACAGCGUGGGGAUCAAACAGG
RNAcentral lists this ribosomal RNA (253 nucleotides) under uncultured bacterium. Its description in RNAcentral is "partial 16S ribosomal RNA". It matches the Rfam family "Bacterial small subunit ribosomal RNA", at positions 524 to 776 of the family's 1533-position model. The record is from RNAcentral.